RNAcentral lists this ribosomal RNA (446 nucleotides) under uncultured bacterium. Its description in RNAcentral is "partial 16S ribosomal RNA". It matches the Rfam family "Bacterial small subunit ribosomal RNA", at positions 338 to 795 of the family's 1533-position model. The record is from RNAcentral.
CCUACGGGAGGCAGCAGUCGAGAAUCAUUCACAAUGGGGGAAACCCUGAUGGUGCGACGCCGCGUGGGGGAAUGAAGGUCUUCGGAUUGUAAACCCCUGUCAUGUGGGAGCAAAUUAAAAAGAUAGUACCACAAGAGGAAGAGACGGCUAACUCUGUGCAAGCAGCCGCGGUAAUACAGAGGUCUCAAGCGUUGUUCGGAAUCACUGGGCGUAAAGCGUGCGUAGGCUGUUUCGUAAGUCGUGGGUGAAAGGCCCGGGCUCAACCCGCGGACGGCACAUGAUACUGCGAGACUAGAGUAAUGGAGAGGGAGCCGGAAUUCUCGGUGUAGCAGUGAAAUGCGUAGAUAUCGAGAGGAACACUCGUGGCGAAGGCGGGUUCCUGGACAUUAACUGACGCUGAGGCACGAAGGCCAGGGGAGCGAAAGGGAUUAGAUACCCCUGUAGUC